GGGAUUGCCCUAGUAACGGCGAGUGAAGCGGCAAUAGCUCAAAUUUGAAAGCUAGCCUUCGGGUUCGCAUUGUAAUUUGUAGAGGAUGAUUUGGGGAAGCCGCCUGUCUAAGUUCCUUGGAACAGGACGUCAUAGAGGGUGAGAAUCCCGUAUGUGACAGGAAAUGGCACCCUAUGUAAAUCUCCUUCGACGAGUCGAGUUGUUGAAUGCAGCUCUAAAUGGGAGGUAAAUUUCUUCUAAAGCUAAAUAUUGGCGAGAGACCGAUAGCGCACAAGUAGAGUGAUCGAAAGAUGAAAAGCACUUUGGAAAGAGAGUUAAAAAGCACGUGAAAUUGUUGAAAGGGAAGCGCUUGCAAUCAGACUUGUUUAAACUGUUCGGCCGGUCUUCUGACCGGUUUACUCAGUUUGGACAGGCCAGCAUCAGUUUCGGCGGCCGGAUAAAGGCUCUGGGAAUGUGGCCUCCACUUCGGUGGAGGUGUUAUAGCCCAGGGUGUAAUACGGCCAGCCGGGACUGAGGUCCGCGCUUCGGCUAGGAUGCUGGCGUAAUGGUUGUAAGCGACCCGUCUUGAAACACGGACCAAGGAGUCUAACAUCUAUGCGAGUGUUCGGGUGUCAAACCCCUGCGCGUAAUGAAAGUGAACGGAGGUGGGAACCCGCAAGGGUGCACCAUCGACCGAUCCUGAUGUCUUCGGAUGGAUUUGAGUAAGAGCAUAGCUGUUGGGACCCGAAAGAUGGUGAACUAUGCCUGAAUAGGGUGAAGCCAGAGGAAACUCUGGUGGAGGCUCGCAGCGGUUCUGACGUGCAAAUCGAUCGUCAAAUUUGGGUAUAGGGGCG
This 833-nucleotide ribosomal RNA is filed under the name Aureobasidium pullulans. RNAcentral's name for it is "partial 28S ribosomal RNA". It matches the Rfam family "Eukaryotic large subunit ribosomal RNA", at positions 71 to 925 of the family's 3401-position model. Lineage: Eukaryota; Fungi; Ascomycota; Dothideomycetes; Dothideales; Saccotheciaceae. The record is from RNAcentral.